RNAcentral lists this ribosomal RNA (472 nucleotides) under uncultured bacterium. Its description in RNAcentral is "partial 16S ribosomal RNA". It matches the Rfam family "Bacterial small subunit ribosomal RNA", at positions 28 to 507 of the family's 1533-position model. The record is from RNAcentral.
GACGAACGCUGGCGGCGUGCUUAACACAUGCCAGUCGAACGCUGAAGCUUGGUGCUUGCACUGGGUGGAUGAGUGGCGAACGGGUGAGUAAUACGUGAGUAACCUGCCCUUGACUCUGUGAUAAGCCUGGGAAACUGGGUCUAAUACUGGAUAUGACAUGCCACUGCAUGGUGGUGUGUGGAAAGGGUUUUACUGGUUUUGGAUGGGCUCACGGCCUAUCAGCUUGUUGGUGGGGUAAUGGCCUACCAAGGCGACGACGGGUAGCCGGCCUGAGAGGGUGACCGGCCACACUGGGACUGAGACACGGCCCAGACUCCUACGGGAGGCAGCAGUGGGGAAUAUUGCACAAUGGGCGGAAGCCUGAUGCAGCGACGCCGCGUGAGGGAUGACGGCCUUCGGGUUGUAAACCUCUUUCAGCACGGAAGAAGCGAGAGUGACGGUACGUGCAGAAGAAGCGCCGGCUAACUACGUG